This is a transfer RNA of Felis catus (domestic cat), 85 nucleotides long. It matches the Rfam family "tRNA". Rfam says of the family: Transfer RNA (tRNA) molecules are approximately 80 nucleotides in length. Their secondary structure includes four short double-helical elements and three loops (D, anti-codon, and T loops). The record is from Rfam. Lineage: Eukaryota; Metazoa; Chordata; Mammalia; Carnivora; Felidae.
ACCUGGGUAGCUCAUUCGGUUGAGCGUCUGACUUGGGCUCAGAUCAUGAUCCCACAGUUUGUGAGUUCGAGCCCCACGUCAGGCU